AUUGAACGCUGGCGGCAUGCCUUACACAUGCAAGUCGAACGGCAGCACGGGUGCUUGCACCUGGUGGCGCGUGGCGCACGGGUGAGUAAUCCAUCGGAACAUGUCCUGUAGGGGGGGAUAGCCCGGCGAAAGCCGGAUUAAUACCGCAUACGAUGUGCGAGUAAAAGGGGGGGACCUUCGGGCCUCGCUCUAUAGGGUUGGCCGAUGGCUGAUUAGCUAGUUGGUGGGGUAAAGGCCUACCAAGGCGACGAUCAGUAGCUGGUCUGAGAGGACGACCAGCCACACUGGGACUGAGACACGGCCCAGACUCCUACGGGAGGCAGCAGUGGGGAAUUUUGGACAAUGGGCGAAAGCCUGAUCCAGCAAUGCCGCGUGUGUGAAGAAGGCCUUCGGGUUGUAAAGCACUUUUGUCCGGAAAGAAAUCCUUGGCCCUAAUACGGUCGGGGGAUGACGGUACCGGAAGAAUAAGCACCGGCUAACUACGUG
Molecule: ribosomal RNA, 486 nt
Filed under: uncultured bacterium
Lineage: Bacteria
Description: partial 16S ribosomal RNA
Rfam family: Bacterial small subunit ribosomal RNA
Source: RNAcentral